Molecule: ribosomal RNA, 396 nt
Filed under: uncultured bacterium
Lineage: Bacteria
Description: partial 16S ribosomal RNA
Rfam family: Bacterial small subunit ribosomal RNA
Source: RNAcentral
AUACGUAGGGGGCAAGCGUUAUCCGGAUUUACUGGGUGUAAAGGGAGCGCAGACGGAAGAUCAAGUCAGGUGUGAAAGGCAUGGGCUCAACCUGUGGACUGCACUUGAAACUGGUCAUCUCGAGUGUCGGAAGGGCAGGCGGAAUUCCUGGUGUAGCGGUGAAAUGCGUAGAUAUCAGGAAGAACACCGGUGGCGAAGGCGGCCUGCUGGACGAUAACUGACGUUGAGGCUCGAAGGCGUGGGGAGCAAACAGGAUUAGAUACCCUGGUAGUCCACGCAGUAAACGAUGAAUACUAGGUGCUGGGUCCCACAGGGGUUCGGUGUCGCCGCUAACGCAUUAAGUAUUCCACCUGGGGAGUACGUUCGCAAGAAUGAAACUUAAAGGAAUUGACGGGG